AGAACGAACGCUGGCGGCAUGCCUAACACAUGCAAGUCGAACGAUGCUUUCGGGCAUAGUGGCGCACGGGUGCGUAACGCGUGGGAAUCUGCCCCUUGGUUCGGAAUAACAGUGGGAAACUACUGCUAAUACCGGAUGACGACGUAAGUCCAAAGAUUUAUCGCCGAGGGAUGAGCCCGCGUAGGAUUAGCUAGUUGGUGAGGUAAUGGCUCACCAAGGCGACGAUCCUUAGCUGGUCUGAGAGGAUGAUCAGCCACACUGGGACUGAGACACGGCCCAGACUCCUACGGGAGGCAGCAGUGGGGAAUAUUGGACAAUGGGCGCAAGCCUGAUCCAGCAAUGCCGCGUGAGUGAUGAAGGCCUUAGGGUUGUAAAGCUCUUUUACCAGGGAUGAUAAUGACAGUACCUGGAGAAUAAGCUCCGGCUAACUCCGUGCCAGCAGCCGC
Molecule: ribosomal RNA, 446 nt
Filed under: uncultured bacterium
Lineage: Bacteria
Description: SSU rRNA
Rfam family: Bacterial small subunit ribosomal RNA
Source: RNAcentral